GGGGAUAACUACUGGAAACGGUAGCUAAUACCGCAUAACGUCGCAAGACCAAAGAGGGGGACCUUCGGGCCUCUUGCCAUCGGAUGUGCCCAGAUGGGAUUAGCUUGUUGGUGGGGUAACGGCUCACCAAGGCGACGAUCCCUAGCUGGUCUGAGAGGAUGACCAGCCACACUGGAACUGAGACACGGUCCAGACUCCUACGGGAGGCAGCAGUGGGGAAUAUUGCACAAUGGGCGCAAGCCUGAUGCAGCCAUGCCGCGUGUAUGAAGAAGGCCUUCGGGUUGUAAAGUACUUUCAGCAGGGAGGAAGGGAGUAAAGUUAAUACCUUUGCUCAUUGACGUUACCCGCAGAAGAAGCACCGGCUAACUCCGUGCCAGCAGCCGCGGUAAUACGGAGGGUGCAAGCGUUAAUCGGAAUUACUGGGCGUAAAGCGCACGCAGGCGGUUUGUUAAGUCAGAUGUGAAAUCCCCGGGCUCAACCUGGGAACUGCAUCUGAUACUGGCAAGCUUGAGUCUCGUAGAGGGGGGUAGAAUUCCAGGUGUAGCGGUGAAAUGCGUAGAGAUCUGGAGGAAUACCGGUGGCGAAGGCGGCCCCCUGGACGAAGACUGACGCUCAGGUGCGAAAGCGUGGGGAGCAAACAGGAUUAGAUACCCU
This 654-nucleotide ribosomal RNA is filed under the name uncultured bacterium. Its description in RNAcentral is "bacterial SSU rRNA". It matches the Rfam family "Bacterial small subunit ribosomal RNA", at positions 139 to 788 of the family's 1533-position model. The record is from RNAcentral.